Molecule: long non-coding RNA, 596 nt
Filed under: Helianthus annuus (common sunflower)
Lineage: Eukaryota; Viridiplantae; Streptophyta; Magnoliopsida; Asterales; Asteraceae
Description: sRNA HanXRQr2_Chr14g0641451
Source: RNAcentral
UGUCACACCCCAAUAAUUCCACGUAUUACCGGUGGGCCCGGUGGGGAAUAUCGUGACGUAGUUGAUAUCAUCAUUGUCAACAUACACAAAUAUAUAGCACAGCGGAAGGCUGGGUAAAUAAACUAUUACAAACCAUACUGUCUGUCGAUGUUCGAAUACAAGAAUAAUACAAACUGGAAUGUAAUAAAAUCCACAGGCGGAUCAUAAAGUACAAAGAAACAAAAACUACAGACUCCGGGUAUCUAUGGGAUUUGCAAGAUCCUCUACAACACCCUAUAGCUCCAGCCUAUUUCGACAAGUACCUGUCAAUUCAAUCUUUAGGAAAAUACGUCAGUAUACACUGGUAAAUACAAUUUAACUGACUCGUUUUGAAAACAUUUGAGAAAAUUGGUUUAGAUGCACAAGGCACAAAUCCUUUAUAACUUGGGACAAUCUUAUCAAAAUCUUGUAUACAGUUUUACAUGCUUGUGAUCUUGUCAUACAUGUGGGGCCGGUUUAUAAGCCGGGCAUGAUUAAUCGACUCACCACUUAUAGAACCCACAGAGGAGUUAUCCCCAACUUGUGGGUAAAUUUAUAUUUAGCAUUUGCAUCUGUCG